This 254-nucleotide ribosomal RNA is filed under the name uncultured bacterium. Its description in RNAcentral is "partial 16S ribosomal RNA". It matches the Rfam family "Bacterial small subunit ribosomal RNA", at positions 524 to 776 of the family's 1533-position model. The record is from RNAcentral.
UACAGAGGUGGCAAGCGUUGUUCGGAUUGAUUGGGUGUAAAGGGUGCGUAGGCGGUUUAGAAAGUCGGGUGUGAAAUCCUAUGGCUUAACCAUAGAAUUGCAUUCGAAACUUCUAGACUAGAGUGCGAAAGAGGUAAAGGGAAUUCCCGGUGUAAGGGUGAAAUCUGUAGAGAUCGGGAGGAACACCAGAAGCGAAGGCGCUUUACUGGUUCGCAACUGACGCUGAGUGCACGAAAGCAUGGGGAGCAAACGGG